RNAcentral lists this ribosomal RNA (1243 nucleotides) under Staphylococcus aureus. RNAcentral describes it as "bacterial SSU rRNA". It matches the Rfam family "Bacterial small subunit ribosomal RNA", at positions 1 to 1225 of the family's 1533-position model. The record is from RNAcentral. RNAcentral also lists the same sequence under 1 other name. Lineage: Bacteria; Bacillati; Bacillota; Bacilli; Caryophanales; Staphylococcaceae.
UUUAUGGAGAGUUUGAUCCUGGCUCAGGAUGAACGCUGGCGGCGUGCCUAAUACAUGCAAGUCGAGCGAACGGAUGAGAAGCUUGCUUCUCUGAUGUUAGCGGCGGACGGGUGAGUAACACGUGGAUAACCUACCUAUAAGACUGGGAUAACUUCGGGAAACCGGAGCUAAUACCGGAUAAUAUUUUGAACCGCAUGGUUCAAAAGUGAAAGACGGUCUUGCUGUCACUUAUAGAUGGAUCCGCGCUGCAUUAGCUAGUUGGUAAGGUAACGGCUUACCAAGGCAACGAUGCAUAGCCGACCUGAGAGGGUGAUCGGCCACACUGGAACUGAGACACGGUCCAGACUCCUACGGGAGGCAGCAGUAGGGAAUCUUCCGCAAUGGGCGAAAGCCUGACGGAGCAACGCCGCGUGAGUGAUGAAGGUCUUCGGAUCGUAAAACUCUGUUAUUAGGGAAGAACAUAUGUGUAAGUAACUGUGCACAUCUUGACGGUACCUAAUCAGAAAGCCACGGCUAACUACGUGCCAGCAGCCGCGGUAAUACGUAGGUGGCAAGCGUUAUCCGGAAUUAUUGGGCGUAAAGCGCGCGUAGGCGGUUUUUUAAGUCUGAUGUGAAAGCCCACGGCUCAACCGUGGAGGGUCAUUGGAAACUGGAAAACUUGAGUGCAGAAGAGGAAAGUGGAAUUCCAUGUGUAGCGGUGAAAUGCGCAGAGAUAUGGAGGAACACCAGUGGCGAAGGCGACUUUCUGGUCUGUAACUGACGCUGAUGUGCGAAAGCGUGGGGAUCAAACAGGAUUAGAUACCCUGGUAGUCCACGCCGUAAACGAUGAGUGCUAAGUGUUAGGGGGUUUCCGCCCCUUAGUGCUGCAGCUAACGCAUUAAGCACUCCGCCUGGGGAGUACGACCGCAAGGUUGAAACUCAAAGGAAUUGACGGGGACCCGCACAAGCGGUGGAGCAUGUGGUUUAAUUCGAAGCAACGCGAAGAACCUUACCAAAUCUUGACAUCCUUUGACAACUCUAGAGAUAGAGCCUUCCCCUUCGGGGGACAAAGUGACAGGUGGUGCAUGGUUGUCGUCAGCUCGUGUCGUGAGAUGUUGGGUUAAGUCCCGCAACGAGCGCAACCCUUAAGCUUAGUUGCCAUCAUUAAGUUGGGCACUCUAAGUUGACUGCCGGUGACAAACCGGAGGAAGGUGGGGAUGACGUCAAAUCAUCAUGCCCCUUAUGAUUUGGGCUACACACGUGC